Molecule: transfer RNA, 64 nt
Filed under: Glycera tridactyla
Lineage: Eukaryota; Metazoa; Annelida; Polychaeta; Phyllodocida; Glyceridae
Description: tRNA-Val
Source: RNAcentral
CAAGAUAGAGCAUCCUAUGCAUUUCACUUACAUUGAAAAGAAAAUGUCAACACAUUUAUCUUGA